Xiphophorus couchianus (Monterrey platyfish) is the source of this 75-nucleotide long non-coding RNA. RefSeq lists it as uncharacterized. The record is from RefSeq and is a predicted model, not a curated record. The transcript is spliced from 3 exons. Lineage: Eukaryota; Metazoa; Chordata; Actinopteri; Cyprinodontiformes; Poeciliidae.
GAAAUAAUCAUCAACUAAUUUAGUUAUCGAUCCAUUAUUAACUGGACUAUACAAGCUCAAAAAAGGCACUUUAUU